AGUGAACGCUGGCGGUAGGCCUAACACGUGCAAGUCGAACGGCAGCACAGUAAGAGCUUGCUCUUACGGGUGGCGAGUGGCGGACGGGUGAGGAAUACAUCGGAAUCUACUUUUUCGUGGGGGAUAACGUAGGGAAACUUACGCUAAUACCGCAUACGACCUACGGGUGAAAGCAGGGGAUCUUCGGACCUUGCGCGAUUGAAUGAGCCGAUGUCGGAUUAGCUAGUUGGCGGGGUAAAGGCCCACCAAGGCGACGAUCCGUAGCUGGUCUGAGAGGAUGAUCCGCCACACUGGAACUGAGACACGGUCCAGACUCCUACGGGAGGCAGCAGUGGGGAAUAUUGGACAAAGGGCGCAAGCCUGAUCCAGCCAUACCGCGUGGGUGAAGAAGGCCUUCGGGUUGUAAAGCCCUUUUGUUGGGAAAGAAAAGCAGCAGGUUAAUACCCCGCUGUUCUGACGGUACCCAAAGAAUAAGCACCGGCUAACUUCGUG
Molecule: ribosomal RNA, 492 nt
Filed under: uncultured bacterium
Lineage: Bacteria
Description: partial 16S ribosomal RNA
Rfam family: Bacterial small subunit ribosomal RNA
Source: RNAcentral